This 449-nucleotide ribosomal RNA is filed under the name uncultured bacterium. RNAcentral describes it as "bacterial SSU rRNA". It matches the Rfam family "Bacterial small subunit ribosomal RNA", at positions 325 to 793 of the family's 1533-position model. The record is from RNAcentral.
CACUGUCACUCCUACGGGAGGCAGCAGUGGGGAAUCUUGGACAAUGGGGGCAAACCCUGAUCCAGCCAUGCCGCGUGAGUGAAGAAGGCCUUAGGGUCGUAAAGCUCUUUCGCCUGUGAAGAUAAUGACGGUAGCAGGUAAAGAAACCCCGGCUAACUCCGUGCCAGCAGCCGCGGUAAUACGGAGGGGGUUAGCGUUGUUCGGAAUUACUGGGCGUAAAGCGCGCGUAGGCGGACCAGAAAGUUGGGGUGAAAUCCCGGGGCUCAACCCCGGAACUGCCUCCAAAACUCCUGGUCUUGAGUUCGAGAGAGGUGAGUGGAAUUCCGAGUGUAGAGGUGAAAAUUCGUAGAUAUUCGGAGGAACACCAGUGGCGAAGGCGGCUCACUGGCUCGAUACUGACGCUGAGGUGCGAAAGUGUGGGGAGCAAACAGGAUUAGAUACCCUGGUAG